Molecule: transfer RNA, 80 nt
Filed under: Streptomyces albospinus
Lineage: Bacteria; Bacillati; Actinomycetota; Actinomycetes; Kitasatosporales; Streptomycetaceae
Description: tRNA-Tyr
Source: RNAcentral
UGGGGCGCUACUGUGUGAUCUUGGGUGGACUGUAAAUCUGCCGGCUUCGCCUUCCCAGGUUCGAAUCCUGGCGCCGCCAC